Molecule: ribosomal RNA, 372 nt
Filed under: uncultured organism
Description: bacterial SSU rRNA
Rfam family: Bacterial small subunit ribosomal RNA
Source: RNAcentral
CGGAGGGUGCAAGCGUUAAUCGGAAUUACUGGGCGUAAAGGGUUCGUAGGUGGUUUAUUAAGUUAUUUGUAAAUCCCUGGGCUUAACCUGGGCAGGUCAGAUAAUACUGGUAGACUCGAGUAUGGGAGAGGGUAGUGGAAUUUCCGGUGUAGCGGUGAAAUGCGUAGAGAUCGGAAGGAACACCAGUGGCGAAGGCGGCUACCUGGCCUAAUACUGACACUGAGGAACGAAAGCGUGGGGAGCAAACAGGAUUAGAUACCCUGGUAGUCCACGCCGUAAACGAUGUCAACUAGCUGUUGGUCAUAUUGAUAUGAUUAGUGGCGCAGCAAACGCGAUAAGUUGACCGCCUGGGGAGUACGGUCGCAAGAUUAA